UGUUGGAACAGCAACUCCAAAGGCCAAAGUAACAAAUGAAUACAACCAGAAGAGCCUAUGCAUUUAUACACAUUUAUUUACUCAGUAUGAAUGGCUUUCAAGUUUGGAGACUAAAACCUUCUGACAGACUUGUAAUGUCUAAAACAGACUUGUAUAUUUCACAAUACAAAGGAAAACAGGAUAAAGACAAGAAUGAAAAAAUAAAAGGUGUGAUCAACAGCAAUCCAAACUGACAAAGGAAACAGUAAUCUGAAGCUGUCUGAAGAGUCCAGAGAACGUCAAUAAAAAUGAAACUUUAGAAAGGAAAACAACCCUGAAACUGAGUAGAGGUGGAGAAAAGCAAGUCAUGUGAGCAGUCCUCACCUUUAAAGCCAGUGAGAAGGUGCUCAAAGAGACACAAGCAGCCAUCUGAGCAGUUCCCUUAGAGAAUCCACAGUAUCAACCCUCUGCUCUGUUGCAGCUGAGAAAGUCACUCAACAGGACAGACUGGAAUUCACGAUAACUACAUUGGUUUUCUAGAGCUGCCAUAUAAAAGUACCACAAACUGAGUGGCUAAGGACAACAUUAAUUUACUGACCAUCUGGAAGCCAGAAGUCCAAAAUCAAGGUGUUGGCAGUGUCAAUCUCCCUCUGAAGGCACUAGGAAAGGACCUGUUCCAGGUCCCUAAUUUUGGUAGUUUUGUGGCUUAUGGCAACAUAACUCCAAUCUUCUUAUGGCAUUCUUCCUGUGUGUAUGCCUGUGCCCAAAUUUCUGCUUUUGAUGAAGACAUCAGUUAUAUUGGAUUAGUUGCCCACCCUACUCCAGUAUGACCUCAUCUCAACUAAUUACAUCUAUAAUGACUCUAAUUCCAGGUAAAGUCACAUUCUAGGACUUCAACCUAUGAAUUUGAGUGAGGAGAGACACAAUUCAACACAUAACAACCAGUAAUCUCAAUUCUUUCUGACAAACCUACUCUUCAACCCAUUCUCUACAGCAACUAUUUUGGGAACAAAUGUGAACUUUAGUCAAUCCAAUCAGACAAAAUCUCAGUUCUUUCAUGGGAACUAUCAUAGAAGAGAUUCUCUCUUCCACUGCACUAGGAGUUACAAAGACCACAUGCCUGCAGGUUUACAAACAUCUUAGUGCUACCAUGGGAAAACCUGUCUGAGACUGGAGCCAAGAUAUGAAGGAAAAACUGAAGAGUGACAUCACUGAGACCCUAACACAUCUGAAGACAGCUCUACUCCCAGGCCUAUCAACUACAUAAACUAACAUAUUCCCUUUCCAUUUAAGAACUGGCGUUUCCUAUCACUUGUGUAAAAGGGUUCUGAUGUAAGAACAGAUAAAACUGGCUAAUAAAGUAAACUUUAUAUA
Neofelis nebulosa (Clouded leopard) is the source of this 1353-nucleotide long non-coding RNA. RefSeq lists it as uncharacterized. NCBI's taxonomy places the organism in Eukaryota, Metazoa, Chordata, Mammalia, Carnivora, Felidae. The transcript has 2 exons. The record is from RefSeq and is a predicted model, not a curated record.